This 918-nucleotide ribosomal RNA is filed under the name uncultured marine group III euryarchaeote. Its description in RNAcentral is "SSU rRNA". It matches the Rfam family "Archaeal small subunit ribosomal RNA", at positions 1 to 923 of the family's 1478-position model. Lineage: Archaea; Methanobacteriati; Thermoplasmatota; Thermoplasmata; Candidatus Thermoprofundales. The record is from RNAcentral.
UUCUGGUUGAUCCUGCCGAAGGCUACUGCUAUUGGAGUUCGAUUAAGCCAUGCGAGUCUAAGGGGUACUUGUACCCCUGGCAUAAUGCUCAGUAACACGUGGAUAAUCUACCCUUAGGUGGGGCAUAAACCCGGGAAACUGGGGCUAAUACCCCAUAGAUACAGAAGGCUGGAAUGCCUCUGUAUUCAAAGCUCCGGCGCCUAAGGAUGAGUCUGCGACCUAUCAGGUAGUAGUCAGGGUCACGACCUGACUAGCCAACGACGGGUACGGGGUGUGAGAGCACUUGCCCGGAGAUGGUUUCUGAGACACGAAACCAGGCCCUACGGGGCGCAGCAGGCGCGAAAACUUCGCAAUGCGGGAAACCGUGACGAGGGAACUCCAAGUGUCUAUGCAAUGCAUAGACUGUUUUUCAGCCUAAAUAGCUGUUAGAGUAAGGGGUGGGUAAGACCGGUGCCAGCAGCCGCGGUAACACCGGCACCCCGAGUGGUAGCCACUAUUAUUGGGCCUAAAGCGUUCGUAGCCGGUUUAGUAAAUUCUUGGGUAAAUCGUACAGCUUAACUGUGCGGAUUCCGGGGACACUACUAGACUUGAGACCGGGAGAGAUUAGAGGUACUUGCAGGGGAGCGGUGAAAUGUUGUAAUCCUGCAGGGACCACCAGUGGCGAAGGCGUCUAAUCAUAACGGCUCUGACGGUGAGGAACGAAACCCUGGGGCGCAAACGGGAUUAGAUACCCCGGUAGUCCAGGGCGUAAACGCUGCUGACUUGGUGUUGGAGAUCCUACGAGGGUGUCCAGUGCUGGCGCGAAGGUAUUAAGUCAGCCGCCUGGGGAGUACGGUCGCAAGACUGAAACUUAAAGGAAUUGGCGGGGGAGCACUGCAACGUGUGGAGCGUGCGGUUUAAUUGGACUCAACGCCGGAA